Long non-coding RNA from Peromyscus eremicus (cactus mouse), 619 nucleotides. RefSeq lists it as uncharacterized. NCBI's taxonomy places the organism in Eukaryota, Metazoa, Chordata, Mammalia, Rodentia, Cricetidae. The transcript has 4 exons. The record is from RefSeq and is a predicted model, not a curated record.
AUGGAGGAAUGUCAGCCCAUCACAGAGGGAAUUCAGUCCAUCAUGGCAGAGAGAGUGAGUCUAUCCUGGAGGGAAUUCAGUCCAUCGUGGUGAGAAGGGCAAAGCAAACAGGCGACAGCAUCACAGUAUAGCCUAGAAUUCACUGCAUAGACCAGGCUGGCCUGGAACUCAGAGUGGUCUACCCAUUUCCAAGGCCUGCACCACCACAGUCAGCCAAAGACUGAACUUUAAAUGGUGUGGAGCCUUUGGAAAAAUCCUAUUGCAGUGACUGGCAGUUGCAUUGAUGUUUCUUCUUGAUCCAAAGAAUGUUCAAACAAAGCUAGCAAUAGAACGCAUCAAAGACCACAAACGUAAAAGGAAAGAGCAGAGAACAUCAACACGCCACCUCGAUAAAGGACAAACCAGGAAUAAAUCAUGAAGUGACUGUCGAUAGAAAUUUAAAGCACAAAAUUUUAUUUUCUUUUUAAUCUGUUGCUAUAAAGCAUUUGCCAUCUCUGGAAACAGAGCGAACCUGACAGCUUUGUGUUGACACCCACAUUUCUCGUUAUAGACAUCUCCCGUGUCUGUCCUGAAGCAAAAAUAAAUUUUGCUUUUUAAGCUUUUGAUGAUAAAAAUCUCA